UACGGAGGGUCCGGGCGUUAUCCGGAUUUAUUGGGUUUAAAGGGAGCGCAGGCCGGCCUUUAAGCGUGACGUGAAAUGUGGACGCUCAACAUCUGAACUGCGUCGCGAACUGGGGGCCUUGAGUGCAUUCGACGCCGGCGGAAUUCGUGGUGUAGCGGUGAAAUGCUUAGAUAUCACGAAGAACUCCGAUUGCGCAGGCAGCUCGCGAGACUGUAACUGACGCUAAAGCUCGAAGGUGCGGGUAUCGAAC
RNAcentral lists this ribosomal RNA (250 nucleotides) under uncultured prokaryote. Its description in RNAcentral is "partial 16S ribosomal RNA". It matches the Rfam family "Bacterial small subunit ribosomal RNA", at positions 524 to 773 of the family's 1533-position model. The record is from RNAcentral.